Molecule: ribosomal RNA, 440 nt
Filed under: uncultured bacterium
Lineage: Bacteria
Description: partial 16S ribosomal RNA
Rfam family: Bacterial small subunit ribosomal RNA
Source: RNAcentral
CUUACGGGUGGCAGCAGUGGGGGAUAUUGCACAUUGGGGGAAACCCUGAUGCAGCGACGCCACGUGGGUGAAGAAGCGCCUCGGCGCGUAAAGCCCUGUCAGCAGGGAAGAAAAUGACGGUACCUGAAGAAGAAGCCCCGGCUAACUACGUGCCAGCAGCCGCGGUAAUACGUAGGGGGCAAGCGUUAUCCGGAUUUACUGUGUGUAAAGGGGGCGCAGACGGCGAUGCAAGCCAGGAGUGAAAGCCCGGGGCCCAACCCCUGGACUGCUCGUGGAACUGCGUGGCUAGAGUGCAGGAGGGGCAGGCGGAAUUCCUGGUGUAGCGGUGAAAUGCGUAGAUAUCAGGAGGAACACCGGUGGCGAAGGCGGCCUGCUGGACUGCAACUGACGUUGAGGCCCGAAAGCGUGGGGAGCAAACAGGAUUAGAUACCCGAGUAGUC